CUUCAUCCUUUUGUGUACAUUGACAGGGAGUGAGCAUUGUUGAUGGUAGAGUCUUCGUGGCUGGCUGGCUCGCUCCACUCUGAGCCCCAUCCUCCCCAGGAACUCUGUGACGCGGCCAACGCUUAGCAGGAAUCUGUUGAAUCGUGCAAGCGCUGGACUUCUCUUUUAUCGUUUUGGUUUUUUGAUUUUCUGGUCCUUGCCAUACGAAACGGUGCGGUUGCAGAGGGGGAAGGGGAAUUGUAUUGCUGCGUGUACCGGUGGAAUAUCCAUCGGAGGUCUGGUGGAUUGCGGGAGUGGAUGCGAGAUAUUGGAUGUCUACUUCUUAAUGCCAGAGUCGAGGCAGAUUGGCGGUUAUAUCUCUGCUUUUUGACAGUGACACCGGAGGCUGGAUUGAAGCGUUGUUCGGAGUGCAGAGAGCGCAAAGGAUAUGAAAACGCCGCGUUAGUCGCAGUAGGGGGAAUAAGAAACCUCACGGUUCUUGGGCGAGUAUGUUUGCUGUGGCUACUUCGAAUGCUGGAAGAUAAAGUUGAGCUAGCAUCUGGAUAUUUGUGGAUUGGAUGCCAGGAGAUGGGAGUGUCAUCGUUAGGGUGCGGAUUUGCUGAUUCGUGGAAUUUCUUGUAGUUUCACUAGAGGAUUGAGCACAGUAUUGGAAACAUGAAGAAACGAGAAAGAGGGGAAGAUGAAAGUAUCCUUCCGCAAGGGAAGCGCAUUGCUGGACCACGGGUGGGCGAGGCUUCUGAAGCCGCCGCCUCCAACAACCUAGCGCCUAAUGGACAGCGGCUGACAACUGAUGAUGCGCUUGCGUACUUGAAAGCUGUGAAGGAGAAAUUCAAGGAUGACAAGGCCAAGUACGACGAGUUUUUGGAGGUAAUGAAAGACUUCAAAGCGCAGAAGGUGGACACUGCCGGCGUGAUCAGCCGCGUGAAGCAGCUGUUCAAGGGGCAUCCUCAAUUGAUUUUCGGGUUCAAUGCGUUUCUCCCUAGAGGGUACGAGAUCACGCAACCUGAGGAGGAGAAGCCUGCGGUAGAGUUUGAUCAAGCGAUUAAUUACGUUAACAAGAUCAAGGCUAGGUUUGCAACGAACGAGAGUGUGUACAAGCAAUUUUUGGAGAUUCUGAACUACUACCGGAAGGGUAACAAAACCAUUAAUGAGGUGUAUCAAGAGGUCGCUAAGUUAUUUGCCGACCAUCCCGAUCUGCUGGAGGAGUUCACAUACUUCUUGCCUGGGACGAAUGGUGCGUCGAUGGGAAAUAGUCAUCCCAGUGCCAAACACGUGCCUCAAAAUGCACGCCAACGAGAUGAGAAAGGGUUUGGAGGAAGCGGGAAGCCACCCAACGAAAGGCCAAUUUCUCUGAAGAAGGACAAAUUUGUAGCUAUGCCAGGAGAACGAAGUCGAGAACGUGAGCCAGAGAGGCGAGUGGAAAAAAAUCGCAAAAAGCUGGACAAGGACAAGAAGGAUGUUGGGGACAGGAAGGACAGGGCAGACAGGGAAGGAGGGGGGGAUAGGGAGAAGGAUUUUGUGGAACAGAAGCCUGCAAAGAGGGCGUCUGCUCGCAAUGCGAGCGAUGCCAUCAGGAGGCAGUCCCAGGCCGCGGAAAGAGCUGAGGGAUAUUCUGAACCUGCCCCUCAAGCGUCGAUGGAGGAUAAGAAGAUGUUUAAGGGUGCUGUCGGCGUGCAGUACCCAUUUUUUGACAAGGUCAAGGCUCGGCUGCGUAGCCGGGACACAUACCAGGAGUUUCUGAAAUGUCUGAACAUCUUCAGCCAGGAGAUCAUCAGCCGCGAGGAGCUGCAGAGCCUGGUGGGUGACAUUCUUGGGAAUCAUGCGGACUUGAUGGAGGGAUUCACCGAGUUUCUGACGCACUGCGAGAAUGUGGAGGGGUAUCUGGCCGGGGUGUUUAGCGGGCGCAAGCUGGGAGAUUUUGCGGAAGGUGUACCGCUGAAAGCCGUGAAGACGGAGAGGGAUGGUGAGCGGGAGAGAAACCGAGAGAAGGACAAGGAGCGUGAGAGGGAGAAGGACAAUGAGAAGGAUAGGGACAGAGAGCAAGACGCUAAGGAGAGGGAGCGGCAUGUGAAGCCAUCGCAGGCAGCGAAGGAGGGAAGCCACAAGGUAGCGUCUAACAGUGACAAGUACUUGAACAAGCCGAUAUCAGAGCUGGAUCUAUCGAGUUGCGAUCGGUGUACUCCUAGCUACCGACUGCUGCCGAAGCAACAUCUUCGGCCGGUGUCGAGUCAUCGCACGGCGCUGGGGAACUCGGUGCUGAAUGACAGCUGGGUGUCGGUGACGUCAGGGAGUGAGGACUACUCGUUCAAGCACAUGCGGAAGAACCAGUACGAGGAGAGCUUGUUCCGGUGCGAGGACGAUCGGUAUGAAUUGGACAUGCUCCUGGAGGGGACGGCAGUGACGGCGAAGGUGGUCGGUGAAUUUACCGCGAAGCAAGAGGAGCAGAACGGGAAAAUGGAGCCAUUGCCUCCGGUGGAUGAGUUCUUGUCAGCGAUCAAUUUGAGGUGCAUUGAGCGGAUAUACGGGGAUCACGGUCUGGACAUGUUGGAGGCUCUUCGCAAGAACACCAGCAGAGCGAUGCCUGUGAUACACUCGCGUCUGGUGCAGAAGGAAGAGGAGUGGACUCGAUGUCGGGAGGAGAUGAACAAGGUAUGGUCGGAGGUGUACGCGAAGAACUGUUACAAGGCUCUGGACCAUCGCAGCUUCUACUUCAGGUCGCAGGACAAGAAGGCACUGAGCACGAAGGGGCUGCUGGCAGAGAUAAAGGAGGUGAGCGAGAAGAGGAGGAAUGAAGACGACACGGUGCUGGCGAUCGCAGGCAUCAAUCGGGGGCCUUCGCUGCCGGAUAUGCGGUAUGAGUUCAGCGACCUGUCGAUCCAUGACGAUAUAUACCAGACUAUAAAGUAUUCCUCGGAGGAGAUUAGCAGCUCGCUGGAUUACACGGAGAAGACGCUACGAACGUGGAGGAUGUUCGUAGAGCCGGUCCUGGGCAUAUCGUCUCGUUCGCAGGGGGUAGAAGACGUGGAGGAGGGUGUGAUGGUGAAGCCAUUGGAGGGCAAAGGGGUUGAUGGGAAUGGUGGAGAGAGCGGUGGCAGUCAAGGAGAUGAAGCGAGCAACCCGGAAGAUGGGGACAUGGCUUCGCAUCGGGAGGGCACUGUGAAUAAAGGUGUGGUGGUGGUGGGCGUGGAGGGGUCCGAGGGUCGGGUGACGGCAGGAGCGACGAAUGAAGAGACCCUGCGAGCAGCGAGUGGCGGGGAGAGAAAUAUAGAGGAGAAUGCGGGAGCAGAAGCGGUUGAUCGAGGCAGUAAUGGAGCAAGAGAAGCCUUCGUUAGAGGUAUGGCAGAGGCGGGUGGGGAAGGCACGGCUGCACGGACGGAAGGGUCUGGAUGGUUACAUGAUGGGAACAGAACGACAAAGCGGAGCUGCAGGGCAGCGGAACGAGGCGAAGUGGGAGGUCGGGCAAAAGUGGGGCUUGGUGAGAACUUGGGUAGCAGAUCGGUGGCCGAUAUUGGCCCUUUGGUAGUUGAUAGUAAUGGCGGCGGCGGUCAUGGGGCAAUGGAUAGAGAGGAAGGAGAGCUAUCGUCUUAUUCAGAGCAAGAGGACCGAAAGAAGUCGAAGUACAGCCCGCGGCAGGGAGAGGGGCACGGUGUCGUGAAGUCACUCGGUCGUGAAGAGAAUGUAGAAGGCGUGGGUAGAGAGAUGGAGCACGAGCAAGAUGCAGACGAUGAAGGGGAGGAAAGUGUUCAGAAGUCGAGUGAGGACAGUGACACUCCAUCUGAAGCCGGGGAAGAAGUUUCGGCAAGCGAGCAGUCUGGGGAAGAGCAUUCGGAACAUGAGGAAGAGGAGGAGCAAGAAGAGAAGGCUGAGAGUGAAGGGGAGGCGGAGGGCAUGACGGAUGUGGAGGAUGGAGACGUUGAUGGGAAUUCGUUACUGGCAGAUUCGGAACACCCUUUUGCACACUGCCAGCCGCUGGCAGCGUAUCCUGGGUCCGGUGUAGGGUUGGUGGGGGCGUCGCAUUCAAAGAAAGUCGGAAGUAUAUUCUAUGGAAAUGAUACUAUUUAUGUUUUGUUCAGGCUAUACCAAACUCUGUACGAGCGUCUGCUUUCGGCGAAAGUGAACGCAGAAUUGGCAUCUAAAAAAAAGGGCGGCGGCGAUGGCGGCGCUCCUCCGAACUUGUAUUCUCGGUUCAUCCAGGUCCUGUACGGAUUGCUAGACGGUUCUGUGGACAAUUCGAAGUUUGAGGACGAGUGUAGGGCAAUCAUAGGCACGCAAUCGUAUAUAUUGUUCACGCUGGACAAGCUGAUUUUCAAGUUGGUGAAGCAGCUGCAAGCGGCAGCGACGGACGAUGUGGUACAGAAGCUGCUGGCACUGAACGCAUACGAGCAAGGUCGGGAAACUGUGGAUGCAGUUUACUAUGCGGACGCUUGCGUGGUUCUGCACGACGAGAGCAUAUAUCGUUUGGAAAAGAGGUCGAACCCGAACGAGUUGCUGAUACAGCUGAUGGAGAAUUUGGAUAUUCCUGGGAAUAGUUUCGAGAGCUCAUUUCAGAAGUACUUGGAUGGAUUUCUAAAGUCCUUAUCAUCCGACAAGCGGGGGCAGGUGUUUUGUGCGCGAAAUUUGAAGCGGAUGCGUAUUGAAGAGAAUGCAGAUUAUGGGAAAGAUGUGAACAUAAUGAACGGGCUGGAGAUUAAGAUGUCAUGUCGGACGUCGAAAGUGUCGUACGUGCUCGACACGGAAGACGUGUUUUGGAGGUCAUUGUCUGGGAGCAAGAGACGGAAGGAGAAGGCGGAGUCGAAGAGGUGGUGCCAGUUUCACAAGUGGAUGCAAGAAAUGGAGGGUUUGAAGGAUGAUGCAUUGGGACACUUGAGAGUAAUUCAGCAGCUUUAAGCGUUCGGAGCAGAGAUUUAUGGUCGACACCGAAGGCUCUUUCUUGGAUCUCUUUCUGCCGUUAUGCAGAAGAGGGUUAUCAACUCGGAGUAUUGUGUUUUUUAUAAGACGGGUAUCGUGCCGAAGGAUAGAGUUAUUGGUUGUUUUCAGGGUCGUCAGGUUGAGUUGAUCUAAAAAUCUGGACCUGAUUUAUGUCCAUUACUUUGCGAUUUUGUGAAUUUGGAGAACAGCUUCUGCUGGUUUCACAAGAUUAAGUGCUAUGCUUGUAAUCAAAUCAUUUUCUUGCAUCUAAACCUGGGCUUUUUUUUUCAGAAGCCCAAUCGCAUAGCGCAUAUGUCCUCUCAAUAUAUAACACUUGGUAUGAGCCCAUUUUGAGGUUGAUGUAUUUCAUUUAAGAACCGUAUGUUUCUCUCAUCAGAAACUUUGCCUGCUGCUAUGGUUACAGGGAAUCGAAACCGAGUCCAUGUUUGACGCUUUUAUGUUUAGAGAUAGAAGCCAGGAAGUAAAUUACAACAUGCCAUUAGCAACCUUGUUAAUUGGUA
Molecule: non-coding RNA, 5429 nt
Organism: Physcomitrium patens
Lineage: Eukaryota; Viridiplantae; Streptophyta; Bryopsida; Funariales; Funariaceae
Source: RefSeq, a predicted model, not a curated record